GAUCAGUACUUCCCACCGGACUGACUGAACUGACAUGAUGAUGGACUUCGGAGACUGCUACUAGCUGGAACCCUUCUUGCUUUUUGACAUUUUCUUUACUAAUAUUUUUUUUUUGUUUAAGAUGGGAGUGGGACGGUAUAAGAAGUUUGGAGUAACUCGAAAAAUGAUUAAUGCAAAUAGACGUAAUGCGCAAAUACGUAGAACGGUCAUAAUCGCGAGUAACCAAAAAAACACCCAGUCUGAUGAAAUAGAUAUUCAGGAACAACUUUGUUUAUCUGGAGACACUAACAAUUUCGACGAAAAAGAGAACAACCAAGAAACAAAUAAAAUAAAACCUCCGGAUGAACCUUGUUCAUCUAAAGUUAGCUAUCUUAUGUAAAUAUAUUU
Molecule: long non-coding RNA, 387 nt
Organism: Plutella xylostella (diamondback moth)
Lineage: Eukaryota; Metazoa; Arthropoda; Insecta; Lepidoptera; Plutellidae
Source: RefSeq, a predicted model, not a curated record